UACGUAGGGGGCAAGCGUUGUCCGGAUUUAUUGGGCGUAAAGAGCUCGUAGGCGGUUUGGUAAGUCUGGUGUGAAAUCUCCACGCUCAACGUGGAGGGGCCACCCGAUACUGCCAUGACUGGAGUCCGGUAGAGGAGAGUGGAAUUCCUGGUGUAGCGGUGAAAUGCGCAGAUAUCAGGAAGAACACCAAUGGCGAAGGCAGCUCUCUGGGACGGUACUGACGCUGAGACGCGAAAGCGUGGGGAGCGAACAGG
Molecule: ribosomal RNA, 254 nt
Filed under: uncultured bacterium
Lineage: Bacteria
Description: partial 16S ribosomal RNA
Rfam family: Bacterial small subunit ribosomal RNA
Source: RNAcentral